This is a long non-coding RNA of Oncorhynchus keta (chum salmon), 677 nucleotides long. RefSeq lists it as uncharacterized. The transcript is spliced from 3 exons. The record is from RefSeq and is a predicted model, not a curated record. Lineage: Eukaryota; Metazoa; Chordata; Actinopteri; Salmoniformes; Salmonidae.
GUAUCUACAAGCAUAGAAGCACAAGCAUACACUCGCACUAACAUCUGCUAACCAUGUGUAUGUGACAAAUAAAAUUUUAUUUGAUUUUUGUCUCAGAGUAAGAGUGCUGAUCUAGGAUCAGGUCCCUCUGUCCAUAUGAUCCUAUUAAUAAAUUACCACUGUUCCUAGAUCAGCUUUUACUGUGAGACUGUCAAUACUUACCACCACAAUGAUUGAGGUAAUGUAACAGGGUAGACAGUACUACUACCAUCAUAAUGAUUGAGGUAAUGUAACAGGGUAGACAGUACUACUACUACCAUCAUAAUGAUUGAGGUAAUGUAACAGGGUAGACAGUACUACUACUACCAUCAUAAUGAUUGAGGUAAUGUAACAGGGUAGACAGUACUACUACUACCAUCAUAAUGAUUGAGGUAAUGUAACAGGGUAGACAGUACUACUACUACCAUCAUAAUGAUUGAGGUAAUGUAACAGGGUAGACAGUACUACUACUACCAUCAUAAUGAUUGAGGUAAUGUAACAGGGUAGACAGUACUACUACUACCAUCAUAAUGAUUGAGGUAAUGUAACAGGGUAGACAGUACUACUACUACUACCAUAAUGAUUGAGGUAAUGUAACAGGGUAGACAGUACUACUACUACUACCAUAAUGAUUGAGGUAAUGUAACAGGGUAGACAGU